This 331-nucleotide unclassified non-coding RNA is filed under the name soil metagenome. RNAcentral describes it as "partial contains 5.8S ribosomal RNA, internal transcribed spacer 2, and large subunit ribosomal RNA". The stretch from base 1 to 120 matches the Rfam family "5.8S ribosomal RNA", at positions 35 to 154 of the family's 154-position model. The record is from RNAcentral.
GAUGAAGAACGUAGCGAAAUGCGAUAGGUAAUGUGAAUUGCAGAAUUCAGUGGAUCAUCGAAUCUUUGAACGCACAUUGCGCCCCUUGGUAUUCCGAGGGGCAUGCCUGUUCGAGCGUCAUUUCAACCCUCAAGCUCUGCUUGGUCUUGGGCCUGGCCGUGAUGGCCGGUCUUAAAAUCAGUGGCGGUGCCGUCGCAGGCUCCAAGCGUAGUACAUCUCUCGCUCUGGAAACUUGGCGGUGCCUGCCAGACAACCCCUAAUUGUCUCUUUCGGUUGACCUCGGAUCAGGUAGGGAUACCCGCUGAACUUAAGCAUAUCAAUAAGCGGAGGA